GUAUCGGAUUGGCUCGCGUACGACUAGUCGUAGUGGCGGGGUAACGGCCCACCGUGCCGACGAUGGCUAGGGGUUCUGAGAGGAAGGUCCCCCACAUUGGAACUGAGACACGGUCCAGACUCCUACGGGAGGCAGCAGUGAGGAAUAUUGGACAAUGGCCGGAAGGCUGAUCCAGCCAUGCCGCGUGCGGGAGGACGGCCCUAUGGGUUGUAAACCGCUUUUGCGGGGGAGCAAUAAGAGCCACGGGUGGUUCGAUGAGAGUACCCUGCGAAUAAGCAUCGGCUAACUCCGUGCC
Molecule: ribosomal RNA, 295 nt
Filed under: uncultured bacterium
Lineage: Bacteria
Description: partial 16S ribosomal RNA
Rfam family: Bacterial small subunit ribosomal RNA
Source: RNAcentral